GAGAUACCGUUCCGGUGGCGUUGUGGUUAGAACAUCCGCCUGGUAUGCGGGAGGUCGUGGGUUCGAUCCCUGGUCGAGUCA
Molecule: non-coding RNA, 81 nt
Organism: Potamilus streckersoni
Lineage: Eukaryota; Metazoa; Mollusca; Bivalvia; Unionida; Unionidae
Source: the annotation of a GenBank genome assembly